Non-coding RNA from Nephila pilipes (giant wood spider), 85 nucleotides. The record is from the annotation of a GenBank genome assembly. NCBI's taxonomy places the organism in Eukaryota, Metazoa, Arthropoda, Arachnida, Araneae, Nephilidae.
GAUAGUGCAAAUGAAGCAGGCGGUUCCAUGGUUAGCACGCUGGACUUUGAAUCCAGUGAUCCGAGUUCAAAUCUCGGUGGAACCU